AACGCUAGCUACAGGCUUAACACAUGCAAGUCGAGGGGCAGCAUGAACUUAGCUUGCUAAGUUUGAUGGCGACCGGCGCACGGGUGAGUAACGCGUAUCCAACCUUCCGUACACUCAGGGAUAGCCUUUCGAAAGAAAGAUUAAUACCUGAUGGUAUGAUGAGAUUGCAUGGUAACAUCAUUAAAGAUUUAUCGGUGUACGAUGGGGAUGCGUUCCAUUAGAUAGUAGGCGGGGUAACGGCCCACCUAGUCGACGAUGGAUAGGGGUUCUGAGAGGAAGGUCCCCCACAUUGGAACUGAGACACGGUCCAAACUCCUACGGGAGGCAGCAGUGAGGAAUAUUGGUCAAUGGGCGCGAGCCUGAACCAGCCAAGUAGCGUGAAGGAUGAAGGUCCUACGGAUUGUAAACUUCUUUUAUAAGGGAGUAAAGUCACCUACGUGUAGGUGUUUGUAUGUACCUUAUGAAUAAGCAUCGGCUAACUCCGUGCCAGCAGCCGCGGUAAUACGGAGGAUGCGAGCGUUAUCCGGAUUUAUUGGGUUUAAAGGGAGCGUAGACGGGUCGUUAAGUCAGCUGUGAAAGUUUGAGGCUCAACCUUAAAAUUGCAGUUGAUACUGGCGUCCUUGAGUACGGUUGAGGCAGGCGGAAUUCGUGGUGUAGCGGUGAAAUGCUUAGAUAUCACGAAGAACUCCGAUUG
This 694-nucleotide ribosomal RNA is filed under the name uncultured bacterium. Its description in RNAcentral is "bacterial SSU rRNA". It matches the Rfam family "Bacterial small subunit ribosomal RNA", at positions 32 to 715 of the family's 1533-position model. The record is from RNAcentral.